RNAcentral lists this ribosomal RNA (440 nucleotides) under uncultured bacterium. RNAcentral's name for it is "partial 16S ribosomal RNA". It matches the Rfam family "Bacterial small subunit ribosomal RNA", at positions 339 to 795 of the family's 1533-position model. The record is from RNAcentral.
CUACGGGGUGCUCCAGUAGGGAAUAUUGCACAAUGGGCGAAAGCCUGAUGCAGCAACGCCGCGUGAGUGAUGAAGGCCCUCGGGUCGUAAAACUCUUUUCAAGAGGAAGAGGAAGGACGGUACUCUUGGAAUAAGCCUCGGCUAACUACGUGCCAGCAGCCGCGGUAACACGUAGGAGGCGAGCGUUAUUCGGAUUUACUGGGCGUAAAGCGCGUGUAGGCGGCUCUAUAAGUUGGAUGUGAAAGCUCCCGGCUUAACUGGGAGAGGACGUUCAAAACUAUAGAGCUUGAGUACGAGAGAGGAAAAUGGAAUUCCGGGUGUAGUGGUGAAAUGCGUAGAUAUCCGGAGGAACACCAGUGGCGAAGGCGAUUUUCUGGCUCGAGACUGACGCUCAGACGCGAAAGCUAGGGUAGCAAACGGGAUUAGAUACCCUUGUAGUC